GACGAACGCUGGCGGCGUGCUUAACACAUGCAAGUCGAACGGAAAGGCCCUGCUUUUGUGGGGUGCUCGAGUGGCGAACGGGUGAGUAACACGUGAGUAACCUGCCCUUGACUUUGGGAUAACUUCAGGAAACUGGGGCUAAUACCGGAUAGGAGCUCCUGCUGCAUGGUGGGGGUUGGAAAGUUUCGGCGGUUGGGGAUGGACUCGCGGCUUAUCAGCUUGUUGGUGGGGUAGUGGCUUACCAAGGCUUUGACGGGUAGCCGGCCUGAGAGGGUGACCGGCCACAUUGGGACUGAGACACGGCCCAGACUCCUACGGGAGGCAGCAGUGGGGAAUAUUGCACAAUGGGCGGAAGCCUGAUGCAGCAACGCCGCGUGCGGGAUGACGGCCUUCGGGUUGUAAACCGCUUUCGCCUGUGACGAAGCGUGAGUGGCGGUAAUGGGUAAAGAAGCACCGGCUAACUACGUG
Molecule: ribosomal RNA, 468 nt
Filed under: uncultured bacterium
Lineage: Bacteria
Description: partial 16S ribosomal RNA
Rfam family: Bacterial small subunit ribosomal RNA
Source: RNAcentral